UUAAAUUAUUUAAAUUUUAAAUUUAAAUUGAAAUAUAAUAAUUGGGGCAAUAUAAUUAUUUUUUAUUUAUAACCUCCUUAUUCCACUUACUCCAACCAAACACUAUUUUACUUAUACCUAUUUGGAAUAAAUCCAAUUCUCAACCAAACAUAAAAUUAUUCUAACUCCACCUUAACCCUGAACAUAACCCUACUAACUAGUUUUUACUUAACCCCGAACCAAGCCUUAGAAUGUGUGACCUCUUAUAAUCUCAAUUGGAACCACCUUUCUAUCGAAUGUGGAACUAUUAAAAUAUUACAGCAAUUAAUCAUAAAAAAUUAAAAAAAGGAAAAGCAAUGAUGCCAACGAAAAAUAAGGGCGUGUUUGGUUUGAAGUCGAAGUCGGAAUCAGAAUCGGAAUCAAAAUAAGCUGGAAUCGAAAUCGAAAUCGGAAUCGGAAUCGGAAUGACUCAUUACCUAAUUCUGUUUGGUUCAUUACCUGAAUCGGAAUCGGAAUAAAUCAUUUCCAUUGUCGGUGUUUGGUUCAGAUGGAUAUAAAAACGUAAUCAAAUUAAUACACUAACAUUAUCUUUAUAAUAUAUUAAUUUAAAUUUAAAUUAAAUAUUAAAUAUUAAAAAUUUACAUCAAAAUUUUGAAAUAAUGUCAAAAUUUUAAAUCUAUUUUUUUUAAAAGAAAUUAAACUUUGAAGUUGAGUGGAUAAUUCAAAAUAUAAAACUAAAUUUUGAUUUAUUCAAAUUCAAACUUGAAAUAAAAUUUGAAUAAACUUUAUAUAAAUUAAAAUUUAAUUUAAAUUCAAAUUCAUAAGUUAGAUUCGAAAUAUUUGAUUAAAUUUUAAUUUUUAAUUUAAGUUCAAAUUAAAAUUUUAAAUUAUAUAUUUAAUUUUUAAAUUUUAACUCAUAUUUUAAUUAAAAAAGUUGAAAAAAUAAAUUUAAUCCGAAUAAAUAUCCAUUCCGUCCGGAUUCAACUUCCAAUCCGGCCUUCUAGGCCGGAUUGAAAAAAGGAGUGAUUGAGCGAUUUCCAUUCCACUCGGGAAUCGGAAUCGGAAUGGGACUCUCACAUACCAAACACCCACAUACCAAACACCCACAGACGGGUUCACUCAUUCUAAUUCCGAUUUCAUGGUGAAAAAGAAGCGAACCAAAUACGCCCUAAGAGUCAAAGUUUUCAAUUUCCUUGAAACAAUA
RNAcentral lists this long non-coding RNA (1183 nucleotides) under Ananas comosus (pineapple). RNAcentral's name for it is "long non-coding RNA (ACOM_LNC016179)". The record is from RNAcentral. Lineage: Eukaryota; Viridiplantae; Streptophyta; Magnoliopsida; Poales; Bromeliaceae.